Molecule: ribosomal RNA, 443 nt
Filed under: uncultured bacterium
Lineage: Bacteria
Description: partial 16S ribosomal RNA
Rfam family: Bacterial small subunit ribosomal RNA
Source: RNAcentral
CCUACGGGGGGCUGCAGUGGGGAAUAUUGGGCAAUGGGCGCAAGCCUGACCCAGCAACGCCGCGUGAAGGAAGAAGGCUUUCGGGUUGUAAACUUCUUUUCUCAGGGACGAAGCAAGUGACGGUACCUGAGGAAUAAGCCACGGCUAACUACGUGCCAGCAGCCGCGGUAAUACGGAGGUGGCAAGCGUUAUCCGGAUUUACUGGGUGUAAAGGGCGUGUAGGCGGGAAAGCAAGUCAGAUGUGAAAACCAUGGGCUCAACCUGUGGCCUGCAUUUGAAACUGUUUUUCUUGAGUACGGGAGAGGCAGACGGAAUUCCUAGUGUAGCGGUGAAAUGCGUAGAUAUUAGGAGGAACACCAGUGGCGAAGGCGGUCUGCUAGACAGCAACUGACGCUGAGGCGCGAAAGCGUGGGGAGCAAACAGGAUUAGAUACCCUUGUAGUC